CCUACGGGAGGCAGCAGUGAGGAAUAUUGCACAAUGGAGGCAACCCUGAUCCAGCGAUGCCGCGUGAAUGAAGACGUAUUUCUGUACUGAAAGCUGUAUUUGCACGAGAGAAAAUGACGAUACGUGACUCUGAAUCACAGUCUAACUCCGUGCCAGAACCCGCAGUAAUACGCAGGCAGCAAGCGUUAUCCGGAUUUACUGGGUGUAAAGUGGGCGUAGACGGUCGCGCAAGUCUGGAGUGAAAUCCCAUGGCUUAACCUCGGAACUGCUUUGGAAACUGUGCAGCUAGAGAGUAGUAGGGGUAGGCGGAAUGUAUGGUGUAGCGGUGAAAUGCGUAGAGAUCAGACGGAACACCGGUGGCGAAGGCAGCUUACUGGACUGCAACUGACGUUGAGGCUCGAAAGCGUGGGCAGCAAACAGGAUUAGAUACCCUUGUAGUC
This 440-nucleotide ribosomal RNA is filed under the name uncultured bacterium. RNAcentral describes it as "partial 16S ribosomal RNA". It matches the Rfam family "Bacterial small subunit ribosomal RNA", at positions 338 to 795 of the family's 1533-position model. The record is from RNAcentral.